GUUUUAAUAGUUUAAAAAUAAAACUUUGGUCUUGUAAACCAAAAAUGAAAUAAUUUUCUUAAAACU
RNAcentral lists this transfer RNA (66 nucleotides) under Etisus dentatus. RNAcentral's name for it is "tRNA-Thr". It matches the Rfam family "tRNA". Rfam says of the family: Transfer RNA (tRNA) molecules are approximately 80 nucleotides in length. Lineage: Eukaryota; Metazoa; Arthropoda; Malacostraca; Decapoda; Xanthidae. The record is from RNAcentral.